GGCAAAGGUCGGAUGACAAAGAUAAUAAACAAGACCUUGGCCUCUUGGCCUUCUGGUCCCGAUAUAUAUCUUAUACAUCAUCCUCAUAAAUAAAUCGAACACCAACACCAGCAUCAUCUCCUUCCUGUCCUUCUCCACCAACAAAUUACACAUAACAUGCUACACCACAGCUCACAUAACCAAUCUUCAGCCAUGUCUACAUCCAGCAACACGUUCAGCGGAUUCUGUAACUGCUUACAACACCACCUGCAGAAAAAAUCUCAAAUCAUCUUCUGCUUUCCGCCAACAACCAAACUUAAAUAUUGCUAAAAUUCCUCAUGAUCGAAGAAAGCAUGGCCGGAAGGGACAGAUCCGCUUAAUAUUUGAGCUAUCGAAACAGAGCCGCGCCACAUCUACAGAACAAAAUUAGAUUUACGCGGAUUAAUGACUUGAUCAAUAACCAAUAGACAGAUAUUCAAUCAGAUCUAGCUUAGGAACGUAAACAAAACACUUAUACAUACCUCUGGAGCUAUCUCCGAGCAAAUCAAGAUCAUGGAGUUCGAGCAUCGAAACGGAUAUCAAGAUAAAGAUCGCAAGGCGAUCUAUAUGAAGCUGCAAUUGAAAAGAUCGAAGGAUGAUCCAUGAAGAGUAGAUCUAUGGAGAAACUAGAGCUUUGCUGAUAAGAUUAGGUAGAUAUGAAAGUUGUGUAUGUGAUUAUUAUAUAGAGG
RNAcentral lists this long non-coding RNA (707 nucleotides) under Populus trichocarpa (black cottonwood). RNAcentral's name for it is "long non-coding RNA (PTRI_LNC001932)". Lineage: Eukaryota; Viridiplantae; Streptophyta; Magnoliopsida; Malpighiales; Salicaceae. The record is from RNAcentral.